CUCUUCUGGAGAUCCACUCCACUGGAGUUUCCCAUGUGAGCCUAGGUUAUGCUCACAUAUUACCUGAUGCGGGACUAAUGAGUUUCAUUCCAGGAAGUCCAGUGUUCAGCCUUAAAUAAGGAAAACGAGGUUUUGAAAUGUGGACGUGAUAAUACUGCUGCCAUGUAGGAGAGAAUGUCCUCUUUUUGUCAAAGUCACAGUUGGUAUGGCCACCUCCGAUAAUACUAAUCGCAGAAAAUACUUCUGAGGAUCCUUGUGAGGAACAUCACACAUCUUCUUUUUCCACUUCUGUAGUGGAAUUAAACAUGGAAACUACAUAUCUAUGCAGAAUAUUUUGGUAUUUGAAUUGUUUUUAAAAAUGCAAUUUCUUGAGAGAAGUCAGGUAAGCAGUUUGCUAAUGCUGUGUGCUGUUACCUUUCAAUGAGGUUGAAGAAACCAGGUUCAGAUUAGGGAGGACUUCCAUCUGUUCUUUACACUGUCUGGGCAGAGAUAAUUUAGAUCCAAAAGCCUUUCGUUGAAAUUGAAACUAUAUAAAUAAGCCCUCCCUCAGAGAAGGUUGUUCUGACAUGGAUGUAGCAGCUUUGGAAUUGCAGUUGGUUUUCAUUAAUUUAAUCCACAGAAAGAAUACUGAAAGAAUAGUGUGGGCUCUAUUUGCACACAUCAAUAGAUAUUUAAAUCUCUUUGCAACUUUAAAACUGCUUGAAGGUGCUUGGAAAGAAGUUCAUUUGUUUACCCUCGGUAAAAAUAUAAUUCUUCCCUUUUGCAUGUUUGUCUGUUAUUUUUGCAUUUGUGCAACAAGUACUGGCUUUGAUUUCUAGUCUGCUUCUGUUUCCUUUGUUGUUUUGUGCAACUGAUGGAUCGGGGGUGGGGGGGGAAGGAUUUGUGACCAGAGGUGAGGAAAGGGAGAUAAAAUCCAAAAAAUAUCUUCUCUCCAACUCUGAUGCUACAGUGAAUGUUACAACUACUCCAGUCAUCUCUUCCACUAUAAAUAGGUGAAAUUAGAGUUCAACUUACUACUGUUCAGCCUUUAUUUGUCGUUAGGAUGUGAUCAUUAUAAAACAGUGGACAUCAAAAUAAGAAAUUUUCCAGACUGACAUGCUUUGGGAAAGGGAAAUCACAGUGUCUAACUAGGUGAGGUUAUGUUGUUCGCUAUUCUUCUGAAACCUGCUAGAUACGGGUACAAAUAUCACUCAUGACUAUUGUUAUGAAAGAAAUUGAGUUGACAGAUAUUAAUGUGAAGGAAAAGUGUAAGUGAAGGAAAAAGUGCAGUAAGUAAGGUUGAAUUGUUUCAUGAACAAUCAUUAAAUGAUGAUCUAUUUAUACUUGGAAUUUUACAUUUGGUCUUCAAUGUAACAUCAAAUAAAAACUGAUCAGUUGCCAUAAAUGUUGGAGUGAAGAAAAAUACACACAAAAUAGAACUCAAAUUAUACUGACAUGAGAAAAAAAUAAUCUGCUGGUAGCAGCUGACAGAAGAAUUUAUGUUAGUGCAAUAAAGAAGCUAGAUUCCUUUGCAGAGUCUCUUCAUAUUUUAUACUGAGUCUUGCUUUCAUUUGACUUGGUAAAGAAGGAGGUCAGUCUAUAAGUAGCAUCCUGUGAAAUUAGCAAGAAUAUACUGCCAGUCAGUGAAAACUGAUGUAACACUAUUGAUGUUAACAGAAAUAAAUAGUGAAAUAUUGUGGUGAUGACCUAUAACCAAAGUUUACUGAUUUGAGUUCUAUUUCUGUUGGUUUAAAGUUGUUGUUGACAAACUUCUAUCUCAGAAAUAUAUUUCUAUGAAUAAGUACUUUUCCUUUUCAUAACUCCCUAGAAUUUGAAUGUGUUGAUGAAUAAAAGAUUCAUGUUUAUUCUUUAGCAAAAGAUAGGAAAAUAGCAAAAAUUAGCUUCAUGCACUUCUAUUAUAUGUUGAGCCACAUUCUGUCACCUUUGACAUGUCUGGUGCCCAGCCAUCAAUGAUAAAAAGAACAGGAGAUAAGGAGAAAAAAAAUUAUCUUUUGCUAAAACACUGGUAAGUGUAGUAUUUCCUUCUCUGUCAUCUGAGAUUUUUGUGCUUGCACUGUUUUGUCUCUCUUGCAUUUAGAUAUGAAUAUAUUCUGCUCUUUCACUGACCAGCAUAAGGUGGAUGUUGUCAUUCUCUCCAGAAAAUACCUACCAAAUUACUGAGAAAUUAUCUUAAGUUCUGAAAGGCAUAUUUCAGUGUACCUAUGUAACUUUCCAAAAUCCUGAAACAAGAAACUGAAAUGAAGUGUAAUUUGUUUGAUACUGUCUCUUUUGAAGGAAGAUGGACUUACUUGCUUUCCAGAUCUCCAUCCUUCUCCCUCACAUUCACUUUUUUGUUGUUCUGGUUGAAAAAUGUUUUACAUAUACUGUAAUGUUAGAGUAGAGUAGUCCAACUUUUUCUCUAUUUUGAUCUAACUUCUAAUUUUGGUGGUCUAGAAAUAAAACUUGCAAGUGCAACUCUGUCACCUUAGUUUCUGUCUAAUUUGAAAAGUAACCCCUGUCAUCUCCCUAAGGGUGUUAAAUAAUAGAUGUUUAGUUUAGAUGCUGUACUGAGGGACAUAAUUUAGUGGGGAAAUAUUGGUGGUAGGUUGGAGUAGAUGAUCUUGAAGGUCAUUUACAACGUUGGCGAUUCUUUGAUUCUGUGAUUCUAAUAGAGUAAUGUUAGUACAUGCUUCUCCUUUGUCUCACCAUUGCAGUGAAACUUCAGAGCCAGGAUACAGAAUUCAGGUCACCACCAAGCUCAUGCAAGUGGCAGUAAACAUCAAUGCCAAACAAGAUGUAAAUAGAGUUUCCACUGAUGUCACUGUAUAAAGUUAUGUUUGUAACAUGGCAUGUUAAAAAUGAAACGUUAAAUCAUAUAAGUCUAUCAUUGUGCUUCAGAAGAAAAAAACUGAAAUAUAUGACUUCUUGGAGUAAAGAUAUCUGGGUGUGGGUAAGAUUGAAUGACAUGUGACGUACUGAUUGCAGUACAGUAUUUUUUCAGUAUACAUAAAAUUGAAUAAAAAACAUUCUUUUGCUAUGAAUGAAAUAGGAAGUCAUUGGAAAUGUUUCAUUUGUGUUUUUACAUUAGAUAACUUUGCUUUUUUUUUUUGAAAUACGUAUUUGGGUCUAAAACCAGUUUGAAAUUCCAAGUAACUCCAGAUUUUUUUUUGUGAUCAUUGAAAGCACCUCUAGAAGAUUAUCUGAGAGAUUUGACAAAAAAAGAUAGUAAUGUUAAUGAAUUAUGUUAAAGUUAGUGGAGCCACCAGCAACUGCAAAAUUAAAUUUCAGCUAUUUAGUGUCAUUAGACCUGCUGAACAUUGUUCAGAUACAGCUCGUUGAGCAAUAAUAUAUGCUGUCUGGUUUGUAAGUAUACUGGUAAUUGGACAAACAGUAUUUGGCAGUACCCUAGAAUUCCAUAUUUGUGCUUAGGUGUAU
Molecule: non-coding RNA, 3414 nt
Organism: Meleagris gallopavo (turkey)
Lineage: Eukaryota; Metazoa; Chordata; Aves; Galliformes; Phasianidae
Source: RefSeq, a predicted model, not a curated record